GUGUGCUCCGCUUCCAAUCCUCCUCGCGGGGUUGCUGCGCCAGAGCCCAUACCCGCCUCAACCCUAGCCGCCACACCUCUCCUUCCUCCCUUGCUUGACACCAUAGGCGGUGCACCCCCUCCCCUCCUUCCUGCUCGAGCUGAUAGCCGCCAGCUGCUGCAUCCCUUCCCCCCCUUCCUCCUCCUUCCUCCUUCCCGCUGGCGCCCCUCGCCCUCGUCCACGGACAAGGGGCCUUCCGCAGGGAUGGCGACAUCUUUAAACCAGGGGUAGUGGAGCAGGGGAUGGCCAAGAAGCCGACACUGGGGGGAGCAGCCAGGCCAAGGAGGACCCAGGUGGUAGAUGCGUCAUGGGGUUAAGGAGAGGCCAAUGAUAGGGAUAAGUAGGAGGAGUGCCAUGGAUCUAUAGGGAAAGGAGGGUGACGCCCUCGGCGGGCGUCCGAGCAGGAAGCCGGCGGGUAGCAUGUCAUCGUAGGCGUCAAGGGAGCCAUGGACAAGCCACCAGGAGGAGAAAGCUCCUAGUUUGUGGAGGAUACUAUGAGACAGAUACAAACCAAGUGUAAUCAAAGAGGAUAUGGAUUCAGUACGGCCAUGAGUGAAGGAAUGUUACUCCAAUUUGGAUCUUGGAGAAUGUUUUCUCAGUGUGGUCCAGGUUAAAUUGUUGUCCUACUAUUCCUGCUCAGCCUCCUAUUGUUCUAUGUCUUCGCAAGGACUUCUUCCAGCUUCUCUAUUGGUGUUCUCUUCACACCGAUGUACGUGCAUGUUCCUCCCUUCCUCCAAUUCUUCUCCAGAAAAGGUUGUUUGCAUCGGGCCACAAUUGCUUCAUGUUUCACUUUCGUUGGUGGUUCACGCGUCGGACUUAGUGCUCUAAGCAAACCAACAUUUCUCAUCUUGGCAAUUGUAUUAUUGGGGCUUCGCUACAUCUGUAAGGUUGAAUCUCAUGUGGCUCCUACGCCCAGCCACCAUCUCCUCCCGCUAAGCAAGAGGUUCGAAGGCCACCGCUACCUCUUCCUUGCCGCCCAGCGGGAGGGGCACUAGGUGUGACUCAUGUUUAGUUAAUGCCCACUGAUUGUGAUGUUCAUUCUAUGGGGAAUUUUGUGUACUUUUAUUUUGUGCAUUUUCUAUUUCAUGUAUUGGUCAGUGGUCCUACAUCCCAUUUGAUUUCUUCAUUCUUCACGAAAAUUACAUAUCAGGAGAUCCAUUUAUUAGAGGAUCUUCUAAAAGGAUUUUUACAUUUGGUUCCUGAUGCUCUGCUUCUCGGGGUUCGUUCACUUCCUUUCUAGCUUGAAAUACCAUAUUUUCCUCUCUGCGUGUACAGUCUUGGUGUUCGGUUUGCUGCUCGUGUUAAUAUUCUGGAUUUAGCCGGGCAUCAUGUUUUGUUCAUCCUCAUGCUCCUAAGUGUAUCUCCCAUUGUAUAGGAACCUGUCAUGCGGGGACCUUGCCUUUUAUGCUUCUUCUUGGUAAUAGAAGUAUUGAAUAUACAUGGUUCUUCUUCUCAAACAUUUUGGCUAAGUGGUGAUAUUCCAAAUAAGUGGAUGUAUCUUGAACAAAGGAGAUGUCUAAUGGUUUCUUAAUUUCGUUAACUAACCAGGGAGUUCAAGGGUGAUGACUGAAAGUUUUGUCAUUACUGGCUAACACUUGGCGACAACGUGUUCAUCAGAAAUGAUCCGAUUAUGCUCUGUUGUAUUAUAUUUCCUACUUUUUCGUAAAUAUGUAUUGAUGUACAUGCACACUCUUUCCAUGCCUGAAAAAGACCGUCAUCCCUUAGUGGCAAAGAUGAUUUUGUUGAACAGUUUCUGUAUAUGUUACAUAGUGUAUUCUUUCCAAUGUAGAAGGUAGU
Long non-coding RNA from Triticum dicoccoides, 1836 nucleotides. RefSeq lists it as uncharacterized. The transcript has 3 exons. Lineage: Eukaryota; Viridiplantae; Streptophyta; Magnoliopsida; Poales; Poaceae. The record is from RefSeq and is a predicted model, not a curated record.